RNAcentral lists this ribosomal RNA (876 nucleotides) under uncultured euryarchaeote. Its description in RNAcentral is "bacterial SSU rRNA". It matches the Rfam family "Archaeal small subunit ribosomal RNA", at positions 21 to 904 of the family's 1478-position model. Lineage: Archaea; Methanobacteriati; Methanobacteriota. The record is from RNAcentral.
GGUCACUGCUAUUGGGAUUCGACUAAGCCAUGCGAGUCGAGAGGGUUCGGCCCUCGGCUGACGGCUCAGUAACACGUGGAUAAUCUGCCCUUAGGUGGAGGAUAAUCUCGGGAAACUGAGAAUAAUACUCCAUAGAUCUAGGAUGCUGGAAUGCACUUAGAUUGAAAGCUCCGGCGCCUAAGGAUGAGUCUGCGGACUAUCAGGUUGUGGUCAGGGUAAUGACCUGACUAGCCUACGACGGAUACGGGUUGUGAGAGCAAUAACCCGGAGACGAUAUCUGAGACACGAUAUCRGGCCCUACGGGGCGCAGCAGGCGCGAAAACUUCACACUGUGCGAAAGCACGAUGAGGGAAUCCCAAGUGCCAACUCGUAAGAGUUGGCUGUUUCUCUGUCUAAAAAAUAGAGAGAGUAAGAGCUGGGUAAGACGGGUGCCAGCCGCCGCGGUAAUACCUGCAGCUCAAGUGGUGGCCACUAUAUUGGGCCUAAAACGUCCGUAGCCGGUUUAAUAAAUGCCGGGGUAAAUCGUGUAGCUUAACUAUACGAAUUCCGGGUAGACUGUUAGACUUGAGACCGGGAGAAGCUAGAGGUACUCCUGGGGUAGAGGUGAAAUUCUGUAAUCCUAGGGGGACCACCAGUGGCGAAGGCGUCUAGCUAGAACGGGUCUGACGGUGAGGGACGAAGCCCUGAGGCGCAAACCGGAUUAGAUACCCGGGUAGUCCAGGGUGUAAACGCUGCUUGCUUGAUGUCAGUUGGGCUCCGAGCCCAAUUAGUGUCGGAGAGAAGUUGUUAAGCAAGCUGCCUGGGAAGUACGGCCGCAAGACUGAAACUUAAAGGAAUUGGCGGGGGAGCACAGCAACGGGUGGAGCGUGCGGUUUA